Molecule: long non-coding RNA, 903 nt
Filed under: Callithrix jacchus (white-tufted-ear marmoset)
Lineage: Eukaryota; Metazoa; Chordata; Mammalia; Primates; Cebidae
Description: lncRNA (ENSCJAG00000082334.1)
Source: RNAcentral
ACCAUGCUGUGCAGUUCUUACCCGCUCCCCACUCCCACUCCCUACCUCCACAAUGACGUUUUUGUGUGAUAUAUUUUCACUAUAAAAUCUCUGCAGGGGUGGGUGAUGAGAAAGGCUAAAAGAAGAAGCUAAUUUUAAUGAGAAUGACAGAAUCCCUGAUUAAACUAAUAUCCACUAAGGCUUAAAUGACUAAGAGCAUUAUUAUUCCUCUGUUAUUUGCAUUUUGAAGUCUUGUCCCAUAGCAAAUUAUACCAGUUCCUGCUUUCCACAAGUUCCUUUCUCCAUGUCCAGUGUUUAGAACUGAGAGUUGCUACACAUCUAAAUAUUCCUCACAAUGUCUGCUAUGAAUCAGCAAUUUUGCAUAAAGGUGAAUGAGGGUUCCGUGGAAAUGGAAUUCUGUGCGCCUGACACUCUGAUGGAUAGCUUUAUGUUUAGAAGUCAGGAAUGCCGGACCUACUUUGUGCAUACCAAGAUGAGAAAGACAUCUCCGUCAUCUUUGGCUUCCUGAGAGGUCGGCUUCCUGAGAGGUAGGCAUGCACAUCUCAGCCAUUGGAAGAGGAUGAAGAGGAGAUCAGGGCACCAUCUCCCUCUCAGGUAUGGACAGUGGCUUUGUUUGUGAGGUUUCUCUCCUCCCUGCUGUACUCUUUUUCACCUGUAGCCCAUGUGAUUCCAAGCUCUCUGAAAGAGCAGUGAGUCUGUGCAUAUGUUACCUGCACAAAAAUUUACAUGUAGAUGUAAUUUUCCUGUAAAAGUUCCUCAAAGCAGAAUAGUUUCAUGGUGCUCUACUCAGCCUCCAUGUAACAAGUGCAUCAUCCUUCUCUGCUCCAUCCCCUUCAAGGCAGGAGGAGGACACUGACCAGCCCCAGGGACAGAUGAAUGACAGGAGGAGAUGAUUCAUAAAAC